This 366-nucleotide ribosomal RNA is filed under the name uncultured Escherichia sp. RNAcentral describes it as "bacterial SSU rRNA". It matches the Rfam family "Bacterial small subunit ribosomal RNA", at positions 8 to 370 of the family's 1533-position model. The record is from RNAcentral. Lineage: Bacteria; Pseudomonadati; Pseudomonadota; Gammaproteobacteria; Enterobacterales; Enterobacteriaceae.
AGAGUUUGAUCCUGGCUCAGAUUGAACGCUGGCGGCAGGCCUAACACAUGCAAGUCGAACGGUAACAGGAAGAAGCUUGCUUCUUUGCUGACGAGUGGCGGACGGGUGAGUAAUGUCCGGGAAACUGCCUGAUGGAGGGGGAUAACUACUGGAAACGGUAGCUAAUACCGCAUAACGUCGCAAGACCAAAGAGGGGGACCUUCGGGCCUCUUGCCAUCGGAUGUGCCCAGAUGGGAUUAGCUAGUAGGUGGGGUAACGGCUCACCUAGGCGACGAUCCCUAGCUGGUCUGAGAGGAUGACCAGCCACACUGGAACUGAGACACGGUCCAGACUCCUACGGGAGGCAGCAGUGGGGAAUAUUGCACA